GUGCCAGCCGCCGCGGUAAUACGGAGGAUGCAAGCGUUAUCCGGAUUCAUUGGGUUUAAAGGGUCCGCAGGCGGAACUGUAAGUCAGGGGUGAAAUCCUACGGCUCAACCGUAGAACUGCCCUUGAUACUGCUGUUCUAGAGUACAGUUGAGGUGGGCGGAAUGUGUCAUGUAGCGGUGAAAUGCAUAGAUAUGACACAGAACACCGAUCGCGAAGGCAGCUCACCAAGCUGUAACUGACGCUCAGGGACGAAAGCGUGGGGAUCAAACAGGAUUAGAAACCCCUGUAGUCC
RNAcentral lists this ribosomal RNA (292 nucleotides) under uncultured bacterium. RNAcentral's name for it is "partial 16S ribosomal RNA". It matches the Rfam family "Bacterial small subunit ribosomal RNA", at positions 505 to 796 of the family's 1533-position model. The record is from RNAcentral.